RNAcentral lists this ribosomal RNA (1421 nucleotides) under Klebsiella sp. 4.2k. RNAcentral describes it as "bacterial SSU rRNA". It matches the Rfam family "Bacterial small subunit ribosomal RNA". Lineage: Bacteria; Pseudomonadati; Pseudomonadota; Gammaproteobacteria; Enterobacterales; Enterobacteriaceae. The record is from RNAcentral.
ACAUGCAAGUCGAGCGGUAGCACAGAGAGCUUGCUCUCGGGUGACGAGCGGCGGACGGGUGAGUAAUGUCUGGGAAACUGCCUGAUGGAGGGGGAUAACUACUGGAAACGGUAGCUAAUACCGCAUAACGUCGCAAGACCAAAGUGGGGGACCUUCGGGCCUCAUGCCAUCAGAUGUGCCCAGAUGGGAUUAGCUAGUAGGUGGGGUAACGGCUCACCUAGGCGACGAUCCCUAGCUGGUCUGAGAGGAUGACCAGCCACACUGGAACUGAGACACGGUCCAGACUCCUACGGGAGGCAGCAGUGGGGAAUAUUGCACAAUGGGCGCAAGCCUGAUGCAGCCAUGCCGCGUGUGUGAAGAAGGCCUUCGGGGUUGUAAAGCACUUUCAGCGGGGAGGAAGGCGGUGAGGUUAAUAACCUUGUCGAUUGACGUUACCCGCAGAAGAAGCACCGGCUAACUCCGUGCCAGCAGCCGCGGUAAUACGGAGGGUGCAAGCGUUAAUCGGAAUUACUGGGCGUAAAGCGCACGCAGGCGGUCUGUCAAGUCGGAUGUGAAAUCCCCGGGCUCAACCUGGGAACUGCAUUCGAAACUGGCAGGCUAGAGUCUUGUAGAGGGGGGUAGAAUUCCAGGUGUAGCGGUGAAAUGCGUAGAGAUCUGGAGGAAUACCGGUGGCGAAGGCGGCCCCCUGGACAAAGACUGACGCUCAGGUGCGAAAGCGUGGGGAGCAAACAGGAUUAGAUACCCUGGUAGUCCACGCUGUAAACGAUGUCGAUUUGGAGGUUGUGCCCUUGAGGCGUGGCUUCCGGAGCUAACGCGUUAAAUCGACCGCCUGGGGAGUACGGCCGCAAGGUUAAAACUCAAAUGAAUUGACGGGGGCCCGCACAAGCGGUGGAGCAUGUGGUUUAAUUCGAUGCAACGCGAAGAACCUUACCUGGUCUUGACAUCCACAGAACUUUCCAGAGAUGGAUUGGUGCCUUCGGGAACUGUGAGACAGGUGCUGCAUGGCUGUCGUCAGCUCCUUGUUGUGAAAUGUUGGGUUAAGUCCCGCAACGAGCGCAACCCUUAUCCUUUGUUGCCAGCGGUCAGGCCGGGAACUCAAAGGAGACUGCCAGUGAUAAACUGGAGGAAGGUGGGGAUGACGUCAAGUCAUCAUGGCCCUUACGACCAGGGCUACACACGUGCUACAAUGGCAUAUACAAAGAGAAGCGACCUCGCGAGAGCAAGCGGACCUCAUAAAGUAUGUCGUAGUCCGGAUUGGAGUCUGCAACUCGACUCCAUGAAGUCGGAAUCGCUAGUAAUCGUAGAUCAGAAUGCUACGGUGAAUACGUUCCCGGGCCUUGUACACACCGCCCGUCACACCAUGGGAGUGGGUUGCAAAAGAAGUAGGUAGCUUAACCUUCGGGAGGGCGCUUACCACUUUG